GAUGAACGCUAGCUACAUGCUUAACACAUGCAAGUCGAGGGACCACAUGGUCUUAUCUUGCUACGGCCGAUAGCGACCGACGCACGGGUAAGUAACACGUAUCCAACCUACCGUCUACUCUUAGCCAGCCUUCUGCAAGGCAGAUUCAUACAAGUUUACAUCAUCACUCCGCUUGUUCACAUGAUUCAAGUUAUUCCGCUAGACUAUGUGGAUGCGUUCCAUUAGAUAGUAGGCGGGGUAUCGGCCCACCUAGUCUUCGAUGGAUAGGGGUUCUGAGAGGGAGGUCCCCCACAUUGGAACUGAGACACGGUCCAAACUCCUACGGGAGGCAGCAGUGAGGAAUAUUGGUCAAUGGGCGAGAGCCUGAAACAGCCAAGUAGCGUGAAGGAGGACUGCCAUAUGGGUUGUAAACUUCUUGUAUAAAGGAAUAGUGUCGGGUACGGAGAACCGCUUGAAGGUACUUUAUGAAUAAGGAACGGCUAACUACGUG
Molecule: ribosomal RNA, 490 nt
Filed under: uncultured bacterium
Lineage: Bacteria
Description: partial 16S ribosomal RNA
Rfam family: Bacterial small subunit ribosomal RNA
Source: RNAcentral